AUUGAACGCUGGCGGCAUGCCUUACACAUGCAAGUCGAACGGUAACAGGUCUUCGGAUGCUGACGAGUGGCGAACGGGUGAGUAAUACAUCGGAACGUGCCCGAUCGUGGGGGAUAACGGAGCGAAAGCUUUGCUAAUACCGCAUACGAUCUACGGAUGAAAGCAGGGGACCGCAAGGCCUUGCGCGGACGGAGCGGCCGAUGGCAGAUUAGGUAGUUGGUGGGAUAAAAGCUUACCAAGCCGACGAUCUGUAGCUGGUCUGAGAGGACGACCAGCCACACUGGGACUGAGACACGGCCCAGACUCCUACGGGAGGCAGCAGUGGGGAAUUUUGGACAAUGGGCGCAAGCCUGAUCCAGCCAUGCCGCGUGCAGGAUGAAGGCCUUCGGGUUGUAACUGCUUUGUACGGAACGAAAAGAACUACUUUCUAAUAAAGAGGUCCAUGACGGUACCGUAAGAAUAAGCACCGGCUAACUACGUGCCAGCAGCCGCGGUAAAACG
RNAcentral lists this ribosomal RNA (501 nucleotides) under uncultured bacterium. Its description in RNAcentral is "bacterial SSU rRNA". It matches the Rfam family "Bacterial small subunit ribosomal RNA", at positions 30 to 527 of the family's 1533-position model. The record is from RNAcentral.